AAAUUGAAGAGUUUGAUCAUGGCUCAGAUUGAACGCUGGCGGCAGGCCUAACACAUGCAAGUCGAGCGGAAACGAGUUAUCAGAACCUUCGGGGGACGAUAACGGCGUCGAGCGGCGGACGGGUGAGUAAUGCCUAGGAAAUUGCCCUGAUGUGGGGGAUAACCAUUGGAAACGAUGGCUAAUACCGCAUGAUGCCUACGGGCCAAAGAGGGGGACCUUCGGGCCUCUCGCGUCAGGAUAUGCCUAGGUGGGAUUAGCUAGUUGGUGAGGUAAGGGCUCACCAAGGCGACGAUCCCUAGCUGGUCUGAGAGGAUGAUCAGCCACACUGGAACUGAGACACGGUCCAGACUCCUACGGGAGGCAGCAGUGGGGAAUAUUGCACAAUGGGCGCAAGCCUGAUGCAGCCAUGCCGCGUGUGUGAAGAAGGCCUUCGGGUUGUAAAGCACUUUCAGUCGUGAGGAAGGUGGUGUAGUUAAUAGCUG
This 482-nucleotide ribosomal RNA is filed under the name Vibrio alginolyticus. RNAcentral describes it as "bacterial SSU rRNA". It matches the Rfam family "Bacterial small subunit ribosomal RNA", at positions 1 to 469 of the family's 1533-position model. Lineage: Bacteria; Pseudomonadati; Pseudomonadota; Gammaproteobacteria; Vibrionales; Vibrionaceae. The record is from RNAcentral.